UUAAAUUGAAGAGUUUGAUCAUGGCUCAGAUUGAACGCUGGCGGCAGGCCUAACACAUGCAAGUCGAACGGUAACAGGAAGCAGCUUGCUGCUUCGCUGACGAGUGGCGGACGGGUGAGUAAUGUCUGGGAAACUGCCUGAUGGAGGGGGAUAACUACUGGAAACGGUGGCUAAUACCGCAUAACGUCGCAAGACCAAAGAGGGGGACCUUCGGGCCUCUUGCCAUCAGAUGUGCCCAGAUGGGAUUAGCUUGUUGGUGAGGUAACGGCUCACCAAGGCGACGAUCCCUAGCUGGUCUGAGAGGAUGACCAGCCACACUGGAACUGAGACACGGUCCAGACUCCUAC
This 347-nucleotide ribosomal RNA is filed under the name Salmonella enterica subsp. enterica serovar Typhimurium. RNAcentral describes it as "bacterial SSU rRNA". It matches the Rfam family "Bacterial small subunit ribosomal RNA", at positions 1 to 342 of the family's 1533-position model. The record is from RNAcentral. Lineage: Bacteria; Pseudomonadati; Pseudomonadota; Gammaproteobacteria; Enterobacterales; Enterobacteriaceae.